Non-coding RNA from Malassezia sympodialis ATCC 42132, 80 nucleotides. The record is from Rfam. NCBI's taxonomy places the organism in Eukaryota, Fungi, Basidiomycota, Malasseziomycetes, Malasseziales, Malasseziaceae.
GGGGAAUUAGCUCAGUGGUAGAGCGCUUGCUUAGCAUAUAUGCCUGCAUGAGGCCAUGGGUUCAAUUCCCAUAUUCUCCA